GGUGGGUCAUCGCCUAAUCGCCCUCACCAACGGGGGCGAACCGGGGAACCACUUCCUCCGUGCGACCGAUGUGAAUCGUGCGUGCGGAUUGGGGUGAAUCGCACAAGGAUUGAAGCUUCGGGCUUCUUUCUGCCUGCGUAGGGUCCAUCUCUUCCGGCCCGAACCCGACAGCUAACCCGGUCGGCGAUAAGGGAGAACAA
Molecule: small RNA, 200 nt
Filed under: Gordonia sihwensis
Lineage: Bacteria; Bacillati; Actinomycetota; Actinomycetes; Mycobacteriales; Gordoniaceae
Also listed under: 1 other name
Description: c-di-AMP sequence
Rfam family: c-di-AMP riboswitch aptamer (ydaO/yuaA leader)
About the family: This family represents a conserved RNA structure found upstream of the ydaO and yuaA genes in Bacillus subtilis and related genes in other bacteria. The ydaO/yuaA element is thought to act as a genetic "off" switch for the ydaO and yuaA genes in its native state.
Source: RNAcentral